Andrographis paniculata is the source of this 2567-nucleotide RNA transcript. RefSeq lists it as uncharacterized. NCBI's taxonomy places the organism in Eukaryota, Viridiplantae, Streptophyta, Magnoliopsida, Lamiales, Acanthaceae. The record is from RefSeq and is a predicted model, not a curated record. The transcript has 5 exons.
UUUGAUCCAUCAUCAAUCUCGUGAUUAGUAUUCACUUUCCUUUCAAUUAAUUUGUCCUCAAGCAAAAGAAACAAACCCUAGACCGUAAAUCUGAAGAUCAAUUUCUGGCUUUGGAGAGCAUCCGAGAUCGAAAUUUAUCUAAUUGCGCAAGCUGCUGGUGUAGAUUCUUGUUUAAUUUGGCGAAUAAGUUUAGUGAUAUUUGUUGAAGAAAAUUGCUUACAAUGAGAUUCAAAAAAGGAGAUAAAGUGGAGGUUAUGAACAAUAAGGGAGUGCCAUAUUUGUGGCAUCCUGCAGAAAUACUCUUCGGUACAGGGCAUACAUACCAUGUCCGAUAUGAUUGUUAUCCUGCUGUGGGAAUUGACCGAUUGGUGGAUAUAGUCUCAAGGAAGCUUGUUAGGCCAUUGCCUCCUCUAGUGCAGCUAGAUCUUGAGAGUUACAAUGCUGAAGACAUUGUGGAGGCGUUUUACAAGAAUUCAUGGACGGUUGCUGUUAUCGUAAAGAUUUUGGGAGGCAAACAAGAAAAGAAAAGGAAGACUGCAAGCCUAAAAAAUCGAUAUUUACUACGGCUGCUUGGGUAUUCUCAGGAAGUAGUUGUUGAUAGGUUGAACAUCAGGAUGAGACAAACCUGGGAUGGUGGCAGAUGGUUUCUAGUGGGAAAGAUAUCCCAUGUGGGCAAUGAUUUGAUGUCUAGGAACCAAUCAACUUCCAGUGGUUGUAGAAAGAUGAAAUUUCAGGUGCCUCAAAUCAAUUCAACGGCUAACUUUGAACACGAAAAUGAUUGCAUGAAUGUCCAGGAUGGUGCUGCGUAUCAGAAUUCUCCUUUAGUCUCUGCAGCAUCUCGAAAGAGGGCUUCCCCCUAUGAUUCAUCCAUCAUUGAAGCAAACAAUGGACCAGCACAAAAAUUACGAGCAACUGUGAAAGAAGGCCAGAAGCAGCGAGUGGUUGCUGCACCUUACAUAGAAAAGGGGUACAGUUGGAGGCAUGCUCAUUUGCUUCCUAUGAUUGUGAGAUGAUGCCAGGGUUUGCUGCCUGUCUCUGGCAUUGAACUUUGGACGAUUCACUCGUCUACUUUCAAACUUAUGCUUCAGUAUAUGGCUGAUCCCUGGUAUCACACAAUUUCAUCUUACAAUGUGUGUGUGUGUGUGUUUGUAUAUAUAUCUAUGUAUGUAUUAAACCCUAAGCUGUUUAAAAUACUAUCAUGUCUUUUUCCGUAGGAUGUGCAACAAGAUAUACAUUGAUAUUUACCUGGUCAUUUCUCUUUCAAUAUUUUACAAUAACUCUCAUUCUUUAUUUUGUUUGGGUACCCAUGCUUAUUAUCAUUUACACAUUCCCAACUGUACAUAUAUUCGUAGUACAUUGCCAUUGGAUCGUAUUGACAUUUGAAUUGCUUUUGGGACUUUACAUGGGAAAUUGCUUUAGAAGCAUUCUCGACAUGUAUAUGUUGGAUUCAUUUCGUUUUACCUUUUGCUCGUAUGCUUUCAUGCUGUUUACUUGCUACAAGAAAACCUUAGCAUCUGCAUAUGAAGAUACCAUCGCCAAUAUGCUUCACGAGUUGGAAUUGUUGGCACUUGUUCAGGUUGGUGUGAAUGACUUAUUAUGUCCUUGGAGAACACUUUUGUGAUUGUGAUUUCUCUAUUCUUUCAGUUCAGUCAAAACUUGCUCGUAAUAUUCAAGGCUACUUACAGUUAUGUAUAAGGUUGGUUUUGUUUAUGUUAGUUAGAACAUUUUGUAACGGGAUUUGGAAUCGAGAAAAGUGAAGUUGAAAGAUCCGGCUUCCUGAAUAAGAAACCAUGCUCAAUUGUUUAUGAAAUUUAGUACUAGUAAACUUAUCCAUGUUAAUUAGCAUAGAGCUAAAUUCUCGAGAAUCUGUUUACAUAUGUUUUGGAAUUUUGGGAGCUUUUAGGAAUAAUAAAAAGUUGAGGGAAAAUAAUUGUUUCAUGUGAUGUAAAUAGUGCUGGAUACGAUGUUUUGAAUAAAGAAUCUUUGACAUUAUAUCUCAAUAACGAGUUUUUAAAUAAGAUCUUCUUUUAGAGGCAGAAAUUUUGAUGAAUAGCCCUAAAACAAAGUUAAAAAUAUAAAUAUUGUGAGGUAUUGAGAACUGUGAAAGUAUUACAGCGACGAUAUUUUUUAUAUUUUUGUUUGACUUUUAUUGUUACGUAUUAUUUUUGGGAUAAUAUUUUUGGAGAAUCAUGUAAGUAUUAAACACUCAUUAUCCUGCAAUAGUUAUAUUACAUCGUGCUGUUUAUAAAGUUAUUCAAUAAUGAUAUAUGCUCCCUUUUUCAUCAUCUCUUGGUGCAGAAAGCAAUGAAACUCAUCUUACUAGUGGACCUAAAAGGAAUUCGUCGUACAUGACACAAUGGGAAAAUGGGUAUCCUUUAUUUCAAGAGUUCGAUUAGCGCAAUAUCAAUUGAAUUAUAAAGUAUAUUACCACUAAAACGCGCCAAGAGCAUUGCCUUUCCUCUACAUGGUCCGGAAACUCGCAAGCUUUCCUCCAUGUAAAGUGUUCCUAUUGCGCCGCAACAACAACAACAACGGCAAUUCAUUGUUUAACCGAUUUCACGGGUAAG